AACGCGAAGAACCUUACCUGGGCUUGAACUGUGCAGGACCAUCCUGAGAAAUUGGGACUUCCCGCAAGGGACCUGCAUAGAGGUGCUGCAUGGCUGUCGUCAGCUCGUGCCGUGAGGUGUUGGGUUAAGUCCCGCAACGAGCGCAACCCUUACUCUUAGUUGCCACCCGCAAGGGGGAACUCUAAGAGGACUGCUCCGGAUAACGGAGAGGAAGGUGGGGAUGAGGUCAAGUCAGCAUGGCCUUUAUGUCCAGGGCCACACACGUGUUACAAUGCGCGCUACAAUGCGUUGCCAACCCGCGAGGGGGAGCUAAUCGCAAAAAAGCGCGCUCAGUUCGGAUUGCACUCUGCAACUCGAGUGCAUGAAGCUGGAAUCGCUAGUAAUGGCGCAUCAGAACGGCGCCGUGAAUACGUUCCCGGGCCUUGUACACACCGCUCGUC
RNAcentral lists this ribosomal RNA (440 nucleotides) under uncultured bacterium. RNAcentral's name for it is "bacterial SSU rRNA". It matches the Rfam family "Bacterial small subunit ribosomal RNA", at positions 958 to 1398 of the family's 1533-position model. The record is from RNAcentral.